GCCUGGCUGGCUCAGUUGGUGGAGCAUGUGACUCUCGAUCUCAGGGUUGUGAGUUCAAGCCUCAUGUUGGGCA
RNAcentral lists this transfer RNA (73 nucleotides) under Ailuropoda melanoleuca (giant panda). Its description in RNAcentral is "tRNA-Glu (CTC) (tRNA-Glu-CTC-6-1)". It matches the Rfam family "tRNA". Rfam says of the family: Transfer RNA (tRNA) molecules are approximately 80 nucleotides in length. Their secondary structure includes four short double-helical elements and three loops (D, anti-codon, and T loops). The record is from Rfam by way of RNAcentral. Lineage: Eukaryota; Metazoa; Chordata; Mammalia; Carnivora; Ursidae.